This 329-nucleotide unclassified non-coding RNA is filed under the name soil metagenome. Its description in RNAcentral is "partial contains 5.8S ribosomal RNA, internal transcribed spacer 2, and large subunit ribosomal RNA". The stretch from base 1 to 120 matches the Rfam family "5.8S ribosomal RNA", at positions 35 to 154 of the family's 154-position model. The record is from RNAcentral.
GAUGAAGAACGUAGUGAAAUGCGAUAAGUAAUGUGAAUUGCAGAAUUCAGUGAAUCAUCGAAUCUUUGAACGCACAUUGCGCCCCCUGGUAUUCCGGGGGGCAUGCCUGUCCGAGCGUCAUUACAACCCUCAAGCUCAGCUUGGUGUUGGGCCCCGCCGCCCCGGCGGGCCCUAAAGUCAGUGGCGGUGCCGUCCGGCUCCGAGCGUAGUAAUUCUUCUCGCUCUGGAGGUCCGGUCGUGUGCUCGCCAGCAACCCCCAAUUUUUUUCAGGUUGACCUCGGAUCAGGUAGGGAUACCCGCUGAACUUAAGCAUAUCAAUAAGCGGAGGA